GUCCACGCCGUAAACGAUGGAUACUAGCUGUUGGGAGCAAUCUCAGUGGCUAAGCGAAAGUGAUAAGUAUCCCACCUGGGGAGUACGUUCGCAAGAAUGAAACUCAAAGGAAUUGACGGGGGGCCCGCACAAGCGGUGGAGCAUGUGGUUUAAUUCGAUGAUACGCGAGGAACCUUACCAAGGCUUAAAUGUAGUUUGACUGAUUUGGAAACAGAUUCUUUCGCAAGACAAAUUACAAGGUGCUGCAUGGUUGUCGU
Molecule: ribosomal RNA, 257 nt
Filed under: uncultured bacterium
Lineage: Bacteria
Description: partial 16S ribosomal RNA
Rfam family: Bacterial small subunit ribosomal RNA
Source: RNAcentral